Molecule: ribosomal RNA, 434 nt
Filed under: uncultured Clostridium sp.
Lineage: Bacteria; Bacillati; Bacillota; Clostridia; Eubacteriales; Clostridiaceae
Description: partial 16S ribosomal RNA
Rfam family: Bacterial small subunit ribosomal RNA
Source: RNAcentral
ACGGGAGGCAGCAGUGGGGAAUAUUGCACAAUGGGGGAAACCCUGAUGCAGCGACGCCGCGUGAGUGAAGAAGUAUUUCGGUAUGUAAAGCUCUAUCAGCAGGGAAGAAAAUGACGGUACCUGACUAAGAAGCCCCGGCUAACUACGUGCCAGCAGCCGCGGUAAUACGUAGGGGGCAAGCGUUAUCCGGAUUUACUGGGUGUAAAGGGAGCGUAGACGGUAAUGCAAGUCAGAAGUGAAAGCCCAGGGCUCAACCGUGGGACUGCUUUUGAAACUGCAGUACUGGAGUGCAGGAGAGGUAAGUGGAAUUCCUAGUGUAGCGGUGAAAUGCGUAGAUAUUAGGAGGAACACCAGUGGCGAAGGCGGCUUACUGGACUGUAACUGACGUUGAGGCUCGAAAGCGUGGGGAGCAAACAGGAUUAGAUACCCUGGUA